RNAcentral lists this ribosomal RNA (480 nucleotides) under uncultured bacterium. Its description in RNAcentral is "SSU rRNA". It matches the Rfam family "Bacterial small subunit ribosomal RNA", at positions 26 to 523 of the family's 1533-position model. The record is from RNAcentral.
AGGACGAACGCUGGCGGCGUGCUUAACACAUGCAAGUCGAACGGUAAGGCCCUUCGGGGUACACGAGUGGCGAACGGGUGAGUAACACGUGGGUGAUCUGCCCUGCACUUCGGGAUAAGCUUGGGAAACUGGGUCUAAUACCGGAUAUGACUACGAAUCGCAUGGUUUGUGGUGGAAAGCUUUUGCGGUGUGGGAUGGGCCCGCGGCCUAUCAGCUUGUUGGUGGGGUGAUGGCCUACCAAGGCGACGACGGGUAGCCGGCCUGAGAGGGUGUCCGGCCACACUGGGACUGAGAUACGGCCCAGACUCCUACGGGAGGCAGCAGUGGGGAAUAUUGCACAAUGGGCGCAAGCCUGAUGCAGCGACGCCGCGUGAGGGAUGACGGCCUUCGGGUUGUAAACCUCUUUCAGUAUCGACGAAGCGCAAGUGACGGUAGGUACAGAAGAAGGACCGGCCAACUACGUGCCAGCAGCCGCGGUAA